UUUAUGGAGAGUUUGAUCCUGGCUCAGGAUGAACGCUGGCGGCGUGCCUAAUACAUGCAAGUCGAGCGAACGGACGAGAAGCUUGCUUCUCUGAUGUUAGCGGCGGACGGGUGAGUAACACGUGGAUAACCUACCUAUAAGACUGGGAUAACUUCGGGAAACCGGAGCUAAUACCGGAUAAUAUUUUGAACCGCAUGGUUCAAAAGUGAAAGACGGUCUUGCUGUCACUUAUAGAUGGAUCCGCGCUGCAUUAGCUAGUUGGUAAGGUAACGGCUUACCAAGGCAACGAUGCAUAGCCGACCUGAGAGGGUGAUCGGCCACACUGGAACUGAGACACGGUCCAGACUCCUACGGGAGGCAGCAGUAGGGAAUCUUCCGCAAUGGGCGAAAGCCUGACGGAGCAACGCCGCGUGAGUGAUGAAGGUCUUCGGAUCGUAAAACUCUGUUAUUAGGGAAGAACAUAUGUGUAAGUAACUGUGCACAUCUUGACGGUACCUAAUCAGAAAGCCACGGCUAACUACGUGCCAGCAGCCGCGGUAAUACGUAGGUGGCAAGCGUUAUCCGGAAUUAUUGGGCGUAAAGCGCGCGUAGGCGGUUUUUUAAGUCUGAUGUGAAAGCCCACGGCUCAACCGUGGAGGGUCAUUGGAAACUGGAAAACUUGAGUGCAGAAGAGGAAAGUGGAAUUCCAUGUGUAGCGGUGAAAUGCGCAGAGAUAUGGAGGAACACCAGUGGCGAAGGCGACUUUCUGGUCUGUAACUGACGCUGAUGUGCGAAAGCGUGGGGAUCAAACAGGAUUAGAUACCCUGGUAGUCCACGCCGUAAACGAUGAGUGCUAAGUGUUAGGGUUUCCGCCCCUUAGUGCUGCAGCUAACGCAUUAAGCACUCCGCCUGGGGAGUACGACCGCAAGGUUGAAACUCAAAGGAAUUGACGGGGACCCGCACAAGCGGUGGAGCAUGUGGUUUAAUUCGAAGCAACGCGAAGAACCUUACCAAAUCUUGACAUCCUUUGACAACUCUAGAGAUAGAGCCUUCGGGGACAAAGUGACAGGUGGUGCAUGGUUGUCGUCAGCUCGUGUCGUGAGAUGUUGGGUUAAGUCCCGCAACGAGCGCAACCCUUAAGCUUAGUUGCCAUCAUUAAGUUGGGCACUCUAAGUUGACUGCCGGUGACAAACCGGAGGAAGGUGGGGAUGACGUCAAAUCAUCAUGCCCCUUAUGAUUUGGGCUACACACGUGCUACAAUGGACAAUACAAAGGGCAGCGAAACCGCGAGGUCAAGCAAAUCCCAUAAAGUUGUUCUCAGUUCGGAUUGUAGUCUGCAACUCGACUACAUGAAGCUGGAAUCGCUAGUAAUCGUAGAUCAGCAUGCUACGGUGAAUACGUUCCCGGGUCUUGUACACACCGCCCGUCACACCACGAGAGUUUGUAACACCCGAAGCCGGUGGAGUAACCUUUUAGGAGCUAGCCGUCGAAGGUGGGACAAAUGAUUGGGGUGAAGUCGUAACAAGGUAGCCGUAUCGGAAGGUGCGGCUGGAUCACCUCCUUU
RNAcentral lists this ribosomal RNA (1543 nucleotides) under Staphylococcus aureus. Its description in RNAcentral is "16S ribosomal RNA". It matches the Rfam family "Bacterial small subunit ribosomal RNA". Lineage: Bacteria; Bacillati; Bacillota; Bacilli; Caryophanales; Staphylococcaceae. The record is from RNAcentral.